Molecule: non-coding RNA, 73 nt
Organism: Bos taurus (domestic cattle)
Lineage: Eukaryota; Metazoa; Chordata; Mammalia; Artiodactyla; Bovidae
Source: Rfam
UCCCUGGUGGUCCAGUGGCUAAGACUCCAUGCUCCAGAUGCUGAGGGCCAGGGUUCAAUUCCUGGUCAGGGAA